GAUGAACGCUGGCGGCGUGCCUAAUACACGCAAGUCGAGCGAACAGACGAGGAGCUUGCUCCUCUGACGUUAGCGGCGGACGGGUGAGUAACACGUGGAUAACCUACCUAUAAGACUGGGAUAACUUCGGGAAACCGGAGCUAAUACCGGAUAAUAUAUUGAACCGCAUGGUUCAAUAGUGAAAGACGGCUUUGCUGUCACUUAUAGAUGGAUCCGCGCCGCAUUAGCUAGUUGGUAAGGUAACGGCUUACCAAGGCAACGAUGCGUAGCCGACCUGAGAGGGUGAUCGGCCACACUGGAACUGAGACACGGUCCAGACUCCUACGGGAGGCAGCAGUAGGGAAUCUUCCGCAAUGGGCGAAAGCCUGACGGAGCAACGCCGCGUGAGUGAUGAAGGUCUUCGGAUCGUAAAACUCUGUUAUUAGGGAAGAACAAAUGUGUAAGUAACUAUGCACGUCUUGACGGUACCUAAUCAGAAAGCCACGGCUAACUACGUG
This 497-nucleotide ribosomal RNA is filed under the name uncultured bacterium. RNAcentral's name for it is "partial 16S ribosomal RNA". It matches the Rfam family "Bacterial small subunit ribosomal RNA", at positions 28 to 507 of the family's 1533-position model. The record is from RNAcentral.